CCUUAGCGUCCUUCUUGGCCUUAGGCGUUCUUCGAGUCAUCCCCAUCUCUGCAUCUCUGCAUCUCUCAAACCAGCCUAGGUUAGCUCCAGAACUUUCUCUAUUUUCGUGGCUCUGUUUAUAGACUGUGUCGAUUCUCCUUCAUUGCAGAUAUGGGCACAGACGCGGCUCGGAUGUUCGCCAAGAGUCUCAAAGCCUAUAAGAGGGAAGGAGCUGCAACUUCCG
Molecule: long non-coding RNA, 223 nt
Filed under: Elaeis guineensis (African oil palm)
Lineage: Eukaryota; Viridiplantae; Streptophyta; Magnoliopsida; Arecales; Arecaceae
Description: long non-coding RNA (EGUI_LNC039947)
Source: RNAcentral